GAUGAACGCUGGCGGCGUGCCUAAUACAUGCAAGUCGAGCGAACGGACGAGAAGCUUGCUUCUCUAAUGUUAGCGGCGGACGGGUGAGUAACACGUGGAUAACCUACCUAUAAGACUGGGAUAACUUCGGGAAACCGUAGCUAAUACCGGAUAAUAUUUUGAACCGCAUGGUUCAAAAGUGAAAGACGGUCUUGCUGUCACUUAUAGAUGGAUCCGCGCUGCAUUAGCUAGUUGGUAAGGUAACGGCUUACCAAGGCAACGAUGCAUAGCCGACCUGAGAGGGUGAUCGGCCACACUGGAACUGAGACACGGUCCAGACUCCUACGGGAGGCAGCAGUAGGGAAUCUUCCGCAAUGGGCGAAAGCCUGACGGAGCAACGCCGCGUGAGUGAUGAAGGUCUUCGGAUCGUAAAACUCUGUUAUUAGGGAAGAACAGAUGUGUAAGUAACUGUGCACAUCUUGACGGUACCUAAUCAGAAAGCCACGGCUAACUACGUG
This 497-nucleotide ribosomal RNA is filed under the name uncultured bacterium. RNAcentral describes it as "partial 16S ribosomal RNA". It matches the Rfam family "Bacterial small subunit ribosomal RNA", at positions 28 to 507 of the family's 1533-position model. The record is from RNAcentral.